Molecule: long non-coding RNA, 1189 nt
Organism: Pipistrellus kuhlii (Kuhl's pipistrelle)
Lineage: Eukaryota; Metazoa; Chordata; Mammalia; Chiroptera; Vespertilionidae
Exons: 3
Source: RefSeq, a predicted model, not a curated record
CGCUCACGGCCCGGGAGAGCCUUACGUCAUGAAGGUGCGGCAUCUCGAUUGGCCGCACGAGGCGUCCAGCCCCCCCUCUCCUCCUGGCCUAUCCGCGCGCGCGCGCGCGCGUAUCUCCUCUCCCUUUUCCCCCGGCGCCGAUGAUUGGCGCGGGCGCGCACGUAGCCAGCCCCGCCCCGCGCACACCGCCCCGCCCCGCCCCGCCCUGUCCACGCUUCCCGGCCCCACCCCGCCUUCCCCAGCGCCCCACCGCGACCUGGGGAAGCGCUGAGAUUCGGCGGACCGCGAACCCCAGCCCCCUCACCCCGUUUCCCAGGCCUCUCCUCUGGCGGUCGGCGUCCCAAGUGGAGGUCCGGGAGCCCCCUGAGCCGGCUGAGGAGAAGGCGGUCAGGUCGCAGGUGCCUUCAGUCUCUCCUCGCUCUCCGGCCUGUCAGCUAUUUUCUCAAAGGUUUCAGGGGGAGUACUGGAAAUUCGGGUAUCUUCCCAAACACGACCUCUUGACCAUUUUGUGGGAAGAAAGAAACAAAAGAAAAACAUGUACACCUUUUUUCAACUUGCUGCCUGAUUUCCUGUAUACCUGCUCUAAUUGAUUAUUGAUGGUGUGUAGACCUACAUAUGAAUUAGGCCAAAUGACAGGAUUUGACCCCUGUUAUGAUGGCUUUCUGGGUUACUCGAUCCAGACUUUCGGUGCACCCAUGCUUCUUAUUGGUUCUUCCUGAUGUAUAUCUACAUUCUGGACUUACGGGAAUCUAUUGGUAGGGUCACAAGAUUGUCAUCAGUGUGGGAUGCUUCCUGCUCUGUGAUGUGUUUUCACAUUCCAGCUCUAAGACACUUGUAAGUUGAAUAAUAAUAUUCACGAUACUGUCUUGAAGGAGAAUAACCACAUAAAGGCUGAUAUUUCUUCUAACACUGACAUCAUUUACAAAUUUUAGGGGGGGCUGGGGGGGAACAACGUUGAAAGCUCACUUUCCAAGAGAACCUGCCUGUUGGAUACAUUGCAGAGCCCUUCUCAGGUGCCUCCUCUAUGCUCAGGUCCACUUGUAACCUUUGAGACUAAGGCCUCUAGGCUUCCUGGUGACAUCAUCCCUGGGCCCAGUGAUGUGGUCUGCCUGUGAGAGACCAGGGAUAAUUCUCUAAAGCUGAUUUAUUACAAGAAGUAUCUGUUGGACAGCUUAGAAAUGGAAUGAGG